GAGUGUAGCUCAGUUGGUAGAGCAUCACGUUGCCAACGUGAUUGUCGCCGGUUCGAUUCCGGUCACU
RNAcentral lists this transfer RNA (67 nucleotides) under Victivallis vadensis. It matches the Rfam family "tRNA". Rfam says of the family: Transfer RNA (tRNA) molecules are approximately 80 nucleotides in length. Their secondary structure includes four short double-helical elements and three loops (D, anti-codon, and T loops). Lineage: Bacteria; Pseudomonadati; Lentisphaerota; Lentisphaeria; Victivallales; Victivallaceae. The record is from RNAcentral. RNAcentral also lists the same sequence under 2 other names.